RNAcentral lists this ribosomal RNA (660 nucleotides) under uncultured cyanobacterium. Its description in RNAcentral is "bacterial SSU rRNA". It matches the Rfam family "Bacterial small subunit ribosomal RNA", at positions 99 to 795 of the family's 1533-position model. The record is from RNAcentral. Lineage: Bacteria; Bacillati; Cyanobacteriota.
CGGACGGGUGAGUAACGCGUGAGAAUCUACCUAUAGGUUCGGGACAACAGUUAGAAAUGACUGCUAAUACCGGAUAUGCCGAGAGGUGAAAGCUUUAGUGCCUGUAGAUGAGCUUGCGUCCGAUUAGCUAGAUGGAGUGGUAACGGCACACCAUGGCGACGAUCGGUAGCUGGUCUGAGAGGAUGACCAGUCACACUGGAACUGAGACACGGUCCAGGCUCCUACGGGAGGCAGCAGUGGGGAAUUUUCCGCAAUGGGCGAAAGCCUGACGGAGCAAUACCGCGUGAGGGACGAAGGUCUGUGGAUUGUAAACCUCUUUUGUUAGGGAAGAUAAUGACGGUACCUAACGAAUAAGCAUCGGCUAACUCCGUGCCAGCAGCCGCGGUAAGACGGAGGAUGCAAGCGUUAUCCGGAAUUAUUGGGCGUAAAGCGUACGUAGGCUGUUAGAUAAGUCUGUUGUCAAAGCGCGAGGCUCAACCUUGUAAAGGCAAUGGAAACUGUUUGACUAGAGAGAGAUAGGGGCAGGAGGAAUUCCAGGUGUAGCGGUGAAAUGCGUAGAUAUCUGGAAGAACACCAGUGGCGAAAGCGUCCUGCUGGAUCUCAACUGACGCUGAAGUACGAAAGCUAGGGGAGCGAAUGGGAUUAGAUACCCCAGUAGUC